GGCUUAGUGGGCCUGCGCACUGUUGGAACUGCCGCGAGGUAGGUAUAACGGGAGCGUCAGACCAGCGCACCUGCGCAGUAGACUUCUAGGCAGGGCCGUGCACUGGGCUGCGCUUUGCCAGCUAGAGCGGGUGCGCAGGGAUGGAGAUGCUGGCCUCUUUCACGGGUACUGUCUGAGGUUCGGCUGCUCUGCCCAACACAGGUCCAAUGGUAACCUCUUCAGUCAUACAUAAGCUUCCAUCCCAGGAAUGAUUGACAUCGCAUGUGGUCAGGAGACCACAAGCAGCAAGGAUGGUGGAGAGAAACAAUGAUACCUCAAAGGGUGUUUGCUUUUCCGUGGAGAUCGUUAAAGAAUUCAACAGACACAGAAUGGCAUCGGCCUGCUUUGCAUCCAAGAGCCAAAGAAAAGCUGCUCACAGCCCAUACCAGCUACAGGAUGAUAUGGUGCCACGGCCCAGCAGCCACAGGUCAGAAUUUCUGACACCUGAGUCACCUGCUGGGGAUUUUCAGUUUUAUUUGGUAGUGUCUGUGUGACUGGUCGUUCUUCAAUGCGAGGACAUUCCUUAGUUAGCCACAGAACUCCACGUGUGGAAGCAUCCUCCGAGGUCAUAGUACAUUUUGUCCGCAGGUGCUUCAUCAGGGCAUGCUUCCGAAUGGAGCUUGAGGGGGGGCACUUUGAACUUCUGGAGGGGAGCUGGCAAGGGAGGGCCUGUGCCUGGGGACAAAGCCCAAUUUUCUAUGGUUGGAUUAAGCCAGGAGAAGAACCUGUUUGUCUGGAAUGUGGGAUGGCCUUGAUGGGCACUGUGAGAAGUUGUUUGCCCCACUGAUUUGGGACUGUUUUUUUUUUUUAUUGUCCUUGUUUUUUGUUUGUUUGUUUUGUUUUGUUUUUUAAUCUGGGGCCUUUCAGGCUCAGGAAUUUAGAAAACUAGUUCCUCAUCCCUGAUGAUCAGCCAGCCAAUCUCUCCCAAUCCUCCUGAGAGCCUGUCAGCGACUCCUGCACCUAUGUAUUUUUACUUUAUCAUUUAUACUUUAUGUGUGUGCUUUGUGAAUGUAUACAAAGAAUGUGGAGGUGAUGGCAGGGGUCAAAAGAGGAAGACAGUUUCCUUCCCCCUAAGUCAGCUUGGAGUUGUGAGCCUCCUGGUGUGGACGCUGGGCCUCUGGAAGAGUAGCAGGUACUUUUAGCCACUGAGCCAUCUCUGUGGACAAGAUGGAAGGUGUCACUUGCUCAAGGUGACAUAGUAAAGACUCAGUACUGGACAUGGACCGAGGCUUGGAGUUUUGAUUCUGUUAGGUCCAGAGUGCCCCCCUCCCCCCGCAAUGGCAGUGCUUUUGACAGUGUCCUUGUUGGGGUAAUCUUUUUGUAUGCUGUGUAAAGGUUGUCUUUGUAUUGUUCAAAUGUUGAUUUCUGUACCAACAGAGAGCUGAGUACUGUCUGGACUUCGGUUAUUGGUCAUUUUUAUAGAUCAUCGCCUGCCUCAGUACUUUGUAGGCCUCCAUUACCUUCUCAUUAGUUUAAUAAAGUAGCUGAAGCAGGAGAGGAAAGGGGGAAGAAUCAGGCAAGAAGCUUCGCCAGAGCAACACAGGUAGACUUAACAGGUGUGGGGUCUGGGUGAAAGGUAAUGAACCAUCACAUGGCAGACGUGGACUGGGUUACUUUAAGUUCGAUAAACUAGCUGGGAGAUAGUCAGGUAAGGCCUAAGCUAUGAUAAAUAGUAAUAAGUUUGUGUGUCAUUAUUUGAGAGCUGACAGGUCCAAGACAGUUCAGCAGUAGUCCUAAACAGAAGGAUUUGGCUGGGUAAAACAUAAGCCUAAAUGUGGGUUUCUGCUAACCAGCAGCCGUCCUUAAUCCAACCCCAAAGAUUAACUAGCCUGAGCAAGGUAGUUCCACACACUUCCUUGUGUCUGAUUUUGGUCCUUCUGCUUCUCAAAAGCCCCACUCCCAACCACUAUCGCACUAUGGAAUAAGUUCCAGCAGGUGAAGGAGGGAGAGACAUCAGCAUUCAUACAGCACCGUAGGGUGAGUCUCAGACAAGAAGCCAUACUGUGGUAGUCAGAGGUGGCCAGAGUGGUGAGGACCUCCAGGGAGAAUGGGGAGGCAAAGAUGGGCCUCCCACCCAGCCUCACUCACAACAUGAAGGGAAGAGGAGGAUUGUUGCCUUGGUUGAGGUAGAACUUCCCACGGAGGAGUGGGUGUUAUCCAGGAGAUGUUCAAGGCCUCUGGGAGCCAGGGCAGCUCUCAUGGGACUGGCAAGGAACUUCCUUGGGCCAUGGCAGGAACAGUGGACCAGCAGCCAAGUGCUGCCAGCAGGUGGCGCUAGACACGGGACCCUGCAGCAGUGCUUUGAUCCUGGCUCUAAAUCAACUACCAUGCAGGCUGAGUUCUGAGGACCUCCUGGAGGUCAGAAGUGAUUCACUGUGUCAUCCACUGUACCUGAAAUGCAUCAUUUGUUUUUUGACUGAAUGGAAUUUCCACCAACAAGUUUUUCUGGACUUUGAACAAUUGUAUUCUAAAGAAGAAGAAGGAGGAGGAGGAGGAGAAGACAGGAAGAAGAAGAGAAGGACAAAAAUAUCAUUUGAAAAUACAUUUCACACAGGGAAGGCACUUCAAUAUACACCUGGCGCUCAGUCCUGCCCACUUCACAAAUGUGUGUAUAAGGAGAUUUGAACAAGAGUUGAGUACCUCUGCCUGGAGGUGAGAACCCUUGAGGGGUUCUCUGGCCACACCUAGCCCUUCCUACUCUAAGGCUUGGGGACACAAGCUGGGUGGCCAUUUACAUGGCUUCGUAGUACAGUUCAGAUUGGAAUUGCCUUUCUACAAAAGCUCCUGUAUCCGGGGCCUUGGUGCUUAGCUAGUGGCACUAUUUUGGGAGGUUCUGGGAAGUUUAGGAGAUAGAGCUUAGUUGGAAGACAUAGGUCCUUGAGGGUCAGUCCUUCGGGUGGCUUGUCACUGGCCUCUUUCUGUUUGUCUCUUUCUCUGCUUCCUGGCUGACAUGAGGUCAGAAGUUUAGAGAGCAUACUCCCACUGUCAGGAUGUUCUAAGUAUGUGGGGCUAAGCAACUGAAUCACCAAAGACCAUAAGGCAAAGCAAAUAUUUCCAGGAAAUGUACCUAGUAUGUUGGGUCAUAAC
Molecule: long non-coding RNA, 3126 nt
Organism: Meriones unguiculatus (Mongolian gerbil)
Lineage: Eukaryota; Metazoa; Chordata; Mammalia; Rodentia; Muridae
Exons: 2
Source: RefSeq, a predicted model, not a curated record